CAUACUACUGGCAUGAUGGUUUGUGUUACCUGUUUCGCCACUACUGUGUGUUAUUGUACUACCAAACGAACUUACGUAGACUAACCAUACGACGACGAAACAAUACGAACAACAAACCAACAACAACCAGCACCUGGCCAGACUGUUUUUGGGAGCUGGCUAUAGGAGGUUAAUCCAACUACCGCAUCCAAGUACCUGAUCAGUUCUUUCCGAAGAGCUUUGCUAGCUGGUAACUUCGUCGAGUCUUUUUGGUUUUGGUUAUUGUUCUUCUUGGUUUUUUCGUAGUCAAAAUAUAAAUUGCUAUCAAUUUAAUACUUAAUUGUGUUUUUUUGCAACAAGUCGUUAAAUCGAGCUUGGUCAAAGGUUGACAUUUAGUAUCUUUUCCUGUAUAUUGUGGGUGAAUUUUGCAAACUAAAAAGGUCAAAACUUCAGGAAAUAUUAACCUUUCGUGUGUAUUUGAUUUUGAUUUUUCAAACAGUUUUGAAAAUCUCUCAAAAACGUUUCUUCGGUUAACUUUUCAAAAGUUUAUUUACGUUUACCGCGCUUUGAAAACAAUAUAAAACCUUUUUUUACCAGCAUAAAUUGUCAAAGUCGCUCAUAAAAAGAUACAAAAACCUAAAAAGUGGAGUAAAAGUGUUGUGAAGUGCUCGUUGGUGAGCGUGAUUGAAAUUUAAAUAUCUGUUAAAUAAAAGUAAUCGUAAUCGUAACAACACAAAUUUUACAUAUUUACGAGUAUUUUUCGGUUAAGUGAAUACUUGUUCGUGAGUUUGGAGUAUAGAGAGUGGAUGUGUUUUUUUUUUUUUAAUUUUGGAUUUUCGUGUCAUGCAUCCGAGAGAUACAUUCAACAACCAUCAGUGCAGCAUUUGAAUCUGAUUUAUUUCAACUCGGAAUCAUUUAAUUAGGACCACAUCACGACCUGUUUUGGUAGUUUUUUUUUUGUCUUUUUUUUUCGUCUUCUUCCUCGAUUUGUCGGGUUUUUUUGUUUUUUUUUUUUGUAUUUUUUUGAUUUUAUGUCGUCGUUUUAUCGCAAAGUUUUUAUUUAUAUUUUGUAUUCCUUAUAAUUCGAUCUUCUUCACAUUUUUUAAUGUAGGCUGUUCUCGAUUCGCAACGAGCGAAAAAGAACUUGAAAUUCUGAACUUAAUUGUUGUCAUCUUCUUUAACUGACAUUAAAAAUACAAGAUAAAAUUAAAUUAAAUAAACAAUCGUUGUUGGAAAAAUACCAAACAGAAAAAAAAUUAAAUAUAAAUGUGCUGUAUCUUCGAAAACAAGAGGGAGAUAUUAUAUCCUUGAGAUGCUGAGGAUCACAUUUUGGCAGAAUUAAUUCGUUUUUCUGGUUGGAAAUUACACAAAAAAAAAAAAAAAAAACAAAAACGAAAAAGGACUAAACCAACACAAAAGAAGCUAAUUAAGAGGAUUUCCUCCUUUGUGAAUCUUUUGAUCACAAAUCAAUCCGUCACUCUCCAGAUCAGAGAAAUCUUCAAAUAAAACACAUACACAAAAAUGUCGUCCUCAGACCGUUCCAUACCUCAUCUUCGUGAUAUCUUCGGAAUCAACAACUAUUCAACAUAUGCAACACCAACAACAACCACAACAAACAACAAUGGCAUCACAACUUACAACAAUACCGAAGCAUAUGUCCAUAAUCCUGUCGUCGAUCUAACCAAAAAACAUUCCAAGAAAAAGCGUGAUAAUAAUAAGACCCUAACAAGUGGCGAUGUCAAGACCCUAGAACGACAUUUAAGUAUGAAAAAAACAAUCCGCAAGAAGAUUAUGCGAGAUCUUCAGCAAGCAUUCGUCGAAGAUCCAAAUGAAUUCAAAAUUGAAAAUUCAAAUCAUGAACAUUUGAAAUCGGAAAUUCGUGCGGAAGCGUUCCGUUUUGGUGAAAAACCAACACGGAAAUCAGAUAAUUUCCUUGAUAUGCUUCGUGGUGAAAAACCAUCGAAUGGUAGCAGUAACCAUGACAACAGUAGUAGUUACAACAAUGCCAAUUCCAUCCAAAGUAGAGAUUAUGAUUUUGAUAAUUCUGGUGGAGGUGGUACUGGACAAGCAAAUGGUGAAAAGCAAAGCUUCUGGCGACGGCUUACGAUGAAGGGUAAAUCAAAGCGAUAGAAUUUUGUUAAAGAAAAGAGUUCUUCAAAUCAAAUAAUAUAAGAAGCAGCAGUUUAGUAGCAGCUCAAAAAGCACAAAUAUAAGAAUUCUAAAUAAACAACAAAACCCCUUUCUCAAGUUUCCUCAGUUUAAUGUUUUCCAUUAUUUUAUUGAUAAAUGUGUGUUGAUGGAUCACGUGCGAACGCAAAUGAUUAUUAAAUAUAAUUAAUUUUUUUUUAAUGAUUUAUUAUUUAAGUUUAUAAAAAAAUUUUAAAACGUUGAUAUGGAAGUAUCUUAAAUAAAAAAUGUGUAUGUGGAAAUUUUGUUUACCUACUAAUUUAAUUUGUAGAAAUGAGAAUCUUUUAAUAAAUAUAUGUAAUUGACUAUUCUGAUGAUAUCAUUAAUGUUUGUUAAUUAAAUAAAUUAAGGAAAAUUCAUAGAUUUAAGGUUAAUUGUUAACUUUUUGCUUUCAAUAAGUUGUACCAAUUGAAUGAUCAAAUAUUCAUAUAAAAUCACAAAAUUUACUUACGUUUGUGUAAUGGAUGGAAAAUAAGUGUGUUUUUAGUUUUAAAUUAAAUACUAAAUGACCCAGUUACUUUUGAAUAACAUUUCUACAGUGGAAUCAGUUUUUUUAUAAAUUGUAUUGAUGUUUUUUUAAAUACAUGUACUUUGUACUUACAUUAUAUUGAAAAAAGGCAUUUCUUAUUUAUUUUAACUUGCGAUAUACUUAGAGGAAAAACAUUUUAGUUCUCACAACUCCACGGAUAGAAUUUAUUUUUAUAUUUGACUUAGAAAUUAUAUUCUUUUACAUACAAUUUUAAUAUAUUAUUUUUUAUUUGAAAUUUUAACAUGAAAGAAACUUAAUCUUAUUUUAUUAUUUGAUAUUUUUGGAAAAAGAAAUUUUUUUUGCUCAAAAUCUUUGUUUUGGUUUUUCUAUAACUAUUAAGAGUGUGUUUUUGAUACUUUCUAUUUUCCAACAUAAAAAUGUCUUCAUACAUAACAGCAUCGAAAUAUAAUUUCUUUUCCAAACUCUGAACAAAAUUAGAUCAGUUUGUAUUCAAUCAGAUUGUAUAUACACUGUGGCGUAUGAGUACUUUUUUUUGUUAAAGAAAUUAAAUUACACAGUAUUUUUUAAUAAUACUGAAUGUAUUCAGUUGUAUUCAUGUAUUUGAAGAGAAGUGAAAGCUCUUUACUGAUUUGCAAGAAACCUUAUAAAUAUCAACAUGGGACUAUUUUUUUGUAUUAUUUUGAAUUAAAAAUUAAUAUUUAUUAUUUCUUAUAUUCCUCUUUAAUAGUAAAAAAAUUAAUUAAAAUUCAAAAAAAAAAAAAUAAUCAACAAAAUUUUAAGUGUACUGUGAGCUUAGAUCUGCCUUAACAAAAAUCAUAUACGUUGUAAAUGCAUAUCAAAUAUUUAACUUAACUAAGCUUAGAAUUUCAGAUUCACCUAUAUAAUAG
Molecule: RNA transcript, 3543 nt
Organism: Episyrphus balteatus (marmalade hoverfly)
Lineage: Eukaryota; Metazoa; Arthropoda; Insecta; Diptera; Syrphidae
Exons: 4
Source: RefSeq, a predicted model, not a curated record